This 263-nucleotide ribosomal RNA is filed under the name uncultured archaeon. Its description in RNAcentral is "partial 16S ribosomal RNA". It matches the Rfam family "Archaeal small subunit ribosomal RNA", at positions 748 to 1008 of the family's 1478-position model. The record is from RNAcentral.
CAGCCGUAAACUAUGCGCGUUAGGUGUACUGGUGACCACGAGUCACCGGGUGCCGAAGGGAAACCGUGAAACGUGCCGCCUGGGAAGUACGGUCGCAAGGCUGAAACUUAAAGGAAUUGGCGGGGGAGGCACCACAACGGGUGGAGCCUGCGGUUUAAUUGGACUCAACGCCGGAAAUCUCACCGGAUAGGACAGACAUAUGAUAGUCGGGCUGAAGGGACUCUACUUGAUGAUCUGAGAGGAGGUGCAUGGCGUCAGUGACU